RNAcentral lists this long non-coding RNA (6590 nucleotides) under Sus scrofa (pig). RNAcentral's name for it is "lncRNA (ENSSSCG00000059757.1)". Lineage: Eukaryota; Metazoa; Chordata; Mammalia; Artiodactyla; Suidae. The record is from RNAcentral.
UACCUUAAAGGUACCCAAAUGAAAAGUGCAUGAUGCCCUAGAGACCAACAUUGUGGCAACAGUCAUCCUCCCAGUUGGAGAACAAAAAGGAAGUCUGAUGGUGCCCUAUAGACAGACACAUUUAACUCAAGGGAAGAGAUGAGGAAGAAGAAUUCCAAUUGAGGCUCUUUUCCUGUCUGGGUUUUCUUUCCCUCCCACCACUCUCUAUGACUUACAUGGCAACACUGGCUCUCCUUAAUCAGGGGUCUAUCUUGAGUUCUGUGUCUCAUUAGAACCUGUGUUAGCUGGUGAGAGUCUGCUGAGUUAAUUAGGGGAGCAGGUGGAAAACCUAGAGAAAUAACAGAACACCUGCUAUUGUGGGGCCCCAGGAAACCUCUUUAGUGUUCACCUGAGAAUCAUCCUUUCUUGUAACUGUGCACAGUUGGUGGACAUCUCAGACCAGUCUUGCUGAACCAGACUGUGUUAAAUUUGUUGAACUAAACUCUUUUAAUUCAGUUUGGUGUUUCUCCUGUUCUGUCUUUGACUCUUGCUUUCUCCUUCACCUAGUUCUUCUCCUGCCUCUCUCCCUUUCAUUUCCCAUCUGUCUCACUUUCCCCAAGUUGGUUUGUCUCUACACAUUCCUCUGGCACCUUUCACCAAAGAUCCUUAGAGCUCAGCAUAGUUGUUACCUAGUAGGCUUUGCAGAGCAUUUAUCAUUGUUUUCAUCAAAGGACCAAUUAACUCCCUGCCGCCCUUCACCAACCUGCAGCAAGGGGCCAUGCUGUUCCUGGUUAGUUUAAGGCAGCAGGGAGCUAAUUGUUCUCUUAGUUCGUGUGGUGGUAAACUCCUUUUAUGAUGUUCACAGGUUCACACCCUACUCUUAAAAGAAUCUUUUUUUUUUUUUUUUUUUUUUUACUAACUUCUUGGCUGAUUACUACCCUGACUGUAAUCUACUUUUAUGGCAGGAAAGGUGCUGUCAAGGCAGCUCCAGGCAAAGUGGGAUAAUACAGUGUCACUUGACACCUUUCACUGUGAGCUCUGGCUUCCUUAAGUAAUGGAGACAGACUGCAUCAUUAUUUUUAAGGAAAAAGAUGUCACUGUUUGGCUGAGUUUGUGUUCACUAAUGUGCAGAUUUGGGAGGCCAUCAUUUUCUAUUUUCCUUGGAUGCAUUAUCAUGAGAUGGCUAGAACAGAGGAGGCCCUGUCUCACAUCCAGUGCCAUGGGGUCUUGAAAAAUGUAGGCAUUCUACAAAGGUUACUGUUUACAAACAAUGUGUUCAUAAUCACCUGUGCAUUUGUUAGGGUCUAGUUAACAUCUGCAUGCACUGUGAAUGAGUAUUAGAAAUAUUCAUAGGAAAUGCUAAGUGCAUACAUCUUGUAUUAAAAAAAAAAUCCCUGCAAUACCUGUGGAAGAAAUCUGCAUGUUUUGGAUAUUAUGGAAGCAAAUAUGUACAGUAAAAAUGUUAUCUUUUUCCAUAAAGCCCAAUUAUUGAUUAGCACCUUUGGUUCUACCUAUACAGCAUGUAUCCUAUGAUAUUGCCAACAGUGAGAGUGAGAUUUGCCUACCACUACCACAUAUACGUGGAUGUACAAUAAAGAUUAAGCCACUACUACUGUAGUAAUUGAAAGAUAUUAAGAAAAUGUUGUAGAAUUGAUUUACUGACAUUACUUUGCACCGUGGUGAUUCUUUCAGUUGAAUCACAACGCGCACACACGCAACAGUCACAGUCCUCAUUUCCUUUUGUGCCUUACCUUCCUCAUCCCCUUUCUCCUCCUUCUAACCCUCCUUUACUUUCUUUUCGAAUAGGUAUCUUUCCAUCUGUCCUUUAAUAUUUUUUAAAAGUAAGUUAUUUUGGGAGUUCCCUGGUGGGCUAGUGGUUAAGGAUUUGUCAUUGUCACUGCUGUGGCUCAGGUUUGAUCCCUGGACUCAGAACUUCUGUGUGCCAUGGGUGUGGCCAAAAAAAUAAAUAAAUAAAGUUAUUUCAAGUAGCAACUUAAGGAGUAUCUUAAUAACUGCUAAUCCUUCCCUUGCUUCAGUUAUCUCUCCAGCUCUCUCGAUUUCAGCUCCAUCUCUAAUCUUACAGCCUCUACCUUACUCUAGCUGUACUUAGAGUUGUUGACUUGAGUUUCUCCUGCAUACAAUGAAUCCUUCACACAGCUUCCAGACAAUCUUCUUUUCCCUUCUCUACCCCAACCCACCAACAUGUUCCUGAAUGCCUGAAUCACAUUUGUGUUCCAAGACCAGAAUUGAGGACUCUGUCAACUGCCCACACCAUUCCUGUCCACUGGCAUCACUUACUACUCUCACUUUUGGCCUGCCUCUAUUCUGGCCAAGUUCUGUGGCCUCAUACCCCCUCAAACUAAUAACUCAUUUCCUUCAUGGUGUUUUGGAGCCUUGGAACAGAUUGUCCUGUCAGCACCCUGCCAGUGCAUGGGCUUCAUUUCCUUAUGAGCAGCUCAAACCUCUCACCUUCCUGGAAGUGUCUGAAGAUUGUCAUCUAUCUUUAUAUGUGUUCUUCUACUUUGCAUCAUUUUACUUAAUGCAUCUGUAUAGCUGGUGGCUUUCAUUCAUUGCUUGGUUACCUAGCAGUCUUUCUCAAGGAAUUCUGUAUGGGUGUGUUUUCUUUUUUCCUGUUAAAUUAUAAACUAGCGCUUAUUGAUGAUCUUGUUUCCAAAAUGUUUUUGCAUUUUCUUCUAUUCCUGGUAUAGAAUUAUAUACAUAAUAGACACUAUAUGACUAUUUCUUAACUAAUUUUUCUCUCUCUUUCCUAAUGUAUAUUCUAUCAUUGUUUCUUUUCACAUCAGUGUAAAAAAACUCCCUAGCUAGAUUAUAAACUCCCUGCAAUUGUAGAUAAACUCUUUUGUAAAGCUCUGUUCUCAAUAGGUAACCAAAAUUGUCUUCACAAAAUAAAAUAAUGAAGUCAAUUAAUUUAAUUUUAUUGUUUUUCUAUUAUUAUUAUUUUUCUUCUUUAGCUACUGUUUCUGUAAUUCAUCUUGCUGUACUUUCCAACUGCUUUGGAUAUUAAUAAUAUCUUUAAAGUUUUAAGCUCCUUUAGGGCAGAGACUUCUAUCCUUGUGUCUUUAUACUGUACAAUACUGAAAAUACUGAACUGAAUAAGUAAUAGAUACUAAGUAAUAAUUUGAAGAAUGACCUUAAAAGAAACAAUAUUCUUCUAUUCUAUAAACAGCCUAAUAUAAUCAGUGGUAGGAACAUGGACUUUGUAGCUAAACUGCUUGCAUUGAAUCUGAACUCCAUGCCCAUGAGCUAUGUGACUUGGCCAAGUUACUAAAUCUCUCUGUGCCUCAGUUCACACAUUAGUAAUGUGGAAAUCACAAUAAUGCCCACCUCAUAAGGAAGUUGUGAAGAUUACAUUGAGUUAGUGCUAUAAACUACUUAUUAGUAAAAAGCCUGGUCUAUAAGAAUUGCUAAAAGGUAUUUGCCAGUAUAUGCUGCCCUCAUGUACGAUGGUCCAGUUGGGUAGUUCUCAUCUUUUUUUUUUUUUUUUUUUUUUUUGGUCUUUUUGUCUUUUCUAAGGCCGUACCUGUGGCAUAUGGAGGUUCCCAGGCUAGGGGUCUAAUGUGAGCUGUAGCCACUGGCCUAAGCCAGAGCCACAGCAACCACAGCUCAUGGCAACGUCAGAUCCUUAACCCACUGAGCAAGGCCAGGGAUCGAAUUGCAACCUCAUGGUUCCUGGUCGGAUUCAUUAACCACUGAGCCAUGAUGGGAACUCCAUCAACUUUAAUCUUUGAUGGUGAGAAUAAUCACACUCUGCUUUGGACCUUUUCUUAUUAAAAAUGAAAUAAUAAUUUCUUAAAUUUUAAAGAAAUAGUAAUAUUUACAGUUUCUCAUGAUCCUUUUCUGUAGAAUACUAUUAAUGAUUGUUCUUGUUAAUAAAAGAAGAUCCAAGAAUACAAGUCUACAAAAUAACAAAAAAUGCAUUGUAAGGUCAAAUAAAGUUUUCAGAAAAAUUAUAGAGCAUACACCUAGAUAGUGUUUGUGUAAAUUGUAUUUAAAUCACCACUACAGUAUUUUGAGCUCCUGACAUGAAGGAUGUGUGUAAGCGGGCCUUGGCAUUUUUUGGAUGAUGGCUUUGGAGAGAGGUGCUUUUUUAGAGUUCUCCUUGAGAAAUUAUAAUUCAAACUUAUGCUCUGGGUAGUUGGAUCACCCAUGAUAAAUCUACUUUCAGCCCAGAAUCCCUUCCUUCUCCCAUAACCAUCUCAAGCCUUCACUUCCCCACCAGAUAAACUCUUAUUCAUAUUUCAAAACUCAACUCAGGUGUCAUCUUCUAAUUUUUUGUUCCUCCACCUCUACCUCCACCUCCAAAAAAUUAAUCAAUUCUCAAAGCAUCAUCCACAACUUACUCAUGUUCCUACCCUUGUAUUUCUUACCUGUGUUCUAAUUUAUUUGUUUACAUGCCUGUCUCCUUUUGGCUUAGUUACUUUAUGGACUUUACUUUAGUAAGUCCUCUAUCCCAACUUCCCAGCCUAGUUUCUAAUAUACUUUAACUGUCCAAAGUUUUUGUUUUGUUUUUGUUUGUUUAUUGAUUUUAUCACAUUUUAAAGUCAUGUAUAAGAAUGUUAUAGAGUUGGUGAAUAAGUAUUCAAAGAGUACCAAGAGCAUAAAUCCAAAAUUGGUAAUAAAGCUCUAAAAAUAAAUUAGAAAAGAAAAAGGAAACAUAUGAAGCAAAGAACAGUAAAUGAAGCCUAUCUCCUGGAAGAGACAUGUAAAACUCUUUAGUAAUUUCUAUUGUCUAUGAAAAGAGUUGGAAUGACACAGGCAGAAAAACUUUCAUCUAUGUUUACUCACAGAAAAGUAGACUUAGCAGAAGAGUGGGACAGGGCAUGGUAUAGGAUGAACUUCCAAGUCAAAUGGAUUUGCUUUAUAAUUGCAGUUCAGCAACUUGUCAUGUGGUUUUAGGAAAUUUCUACAUUCUUUCUUAGCUUCACUUUCUUUAUGUAGCCCAUGAAAUCUACUCCUGAGUGCAGGUAUGAGGCUUAAAUAACCCAAGCUUACAUGUUUGGCAUAAGUAACUGCUGAAUAAAUGUGAACUAUUGAACCAUUAGAGUAGAUAAGAUCCAAGUUCAUUAGUGGAAACAAUAUAAUGAUAUGACAAUUAUCUUAACAGUUUAAAUUAGCAAAAUUCUUGAGGACUAAAUCCACAGAGCUUUAUUUUAAAACAGUCAUAUAGCAGUGCUACUAGAAUUCAUGCACUCACAUACUGAUAUUCAUAUACACUUUAUUUCUCACUGUAUACCAAUUUUAUUAUUGCAUUUAAUUUGUUCUUUUAAGGCAGUAGUAUCUUUAGUACAGAAAAAACUAAAUCAGAUACAGUGACUUAAUGGUGCUAUAAAAUAAUAAUGACUUUGAGUUUUUUUCACAAACUUAAACAUAAGAAGUAGAUAUUUUCUGCUUUAAGUUUCCAAUGAUUGAGUACUUGAUAAGGUUCUAGAUCCACAGCCCAUCAGUACGUUAAAAGAAAAGGUUAAAUUCAAGCAAUAUCACUCUCUCCAUUGCUAGUAGAUAUGCAUGAUGAACUAACUUCUCUGUGGACACAGACACUUGCAACUCAACCUAGUUCCAUAUGUGAUUAAAAGUUUGAAAACACUGUCAAGAUUUGACUGUUUUGAAUGCCUAUCUUUAAACUGUUAAGACUCCUGGAUUAUGACCAUAGCUUUAGAAAACAUUAGACUUAAGAUUUAUUUGCAUUCUCUUUUCCCACCCUGGCCACUAGAAAAUAAAUAAGAACAGUACUUUUUAAAAGUCCAGGAGUUUCAGCAUAUAAGUAGACACACACUUUGCAUUUCAACUUUUAAUAACAAGGUUAUUUUUAGGGGAAGAAAAUUCAUUAUUUCAACAUGGUUUUGUUAGCAAUCAUCAAUAAGUUCAAGGAACUGAACAAAAACAGAGCAAAAUCUGUCUUUGAUCACUGAAAAUGCCCACUAGAUCAAGAAGAUUGAACAACUCCAAGCUUGAAGUGCUGUAGAGAGGUGAUUGAUUGAAAUAGAACUAUGUUAUGAAGAUCUUCUUCCACACAAUGUUGAAAUUAAAAUCUCACAUAGUCCCCACUUUAGUAUGACUGCAUAUUAUUAUUACAUCAGAUUAUUGCUUGUGUGCUUAUUCGUAGCAUCCUUCUGUGAUGGCUUUUAUUUCUAUUUUCAGAAAACUCAGAAUAUAGUAAACUUAGUAACUUUCUCAAACUCCUGAGACAGUUAGGGCAGAGAAAGAUUCAGUGGACAGCAUCAGAAAGUAAACUUAUACAUUGUAAGUUUUCUAGUAAUUGCUAAGAGGUAAUCUUUAAAAGGUAAAGGAGAUAUGUGCCCACAUAUAUAGGAUUAGGAGAUAUUUGGAAGCUUGAAUAGCCCCCGCCCCUGUUAAUAAUAAACAUCUUUGUGGACAGACUCAUUUGUAUAGUCAUUUAUCUCUCCUUCUUCAUCCCCUCCCAGACCCUUUCUUUAUUACAAGGGACUCCAAAGAAAAUUUCCCCAUAAAAACAUGGCCUGUGUGCCUUACACUAUUCUCCUGCCUAUAUACACACUGCCUUAGUUUGACAGCUAAAUCAAUUAAUCAUUACCAGGCUCCUCCUGGCACUGACACAGAGGGCCUUUCAGUUG